RNAcentral lists this long non-coding RNA (2368 nucleotides) under Salmo salar (Atlantic salmon). Its description in RNAcentral is "lncRNA (ENSSSAG00000087678.1)". The record is from RNAcentral. Lineage: Eukaryota; Metazoa; Chordata; Actinopteri; Salmoniformes; Salmonidae.
GGAGUUACUGUUUAUUUGAAAGCUGCCUGUUGGACAGUGAGGAGUUACUGUUUAUUUGAAAGCUGCCUGUUGGACAGUGAGGAGUUACUGUUAUUUGAAAGCUGCGUGUUGGACAGUGAGGAGUUACUGUUUAUUUGAAAGCUGCCUGUUGGACAGUGAGGAGUUACUGUUUAUUUGAAAGCUGCCUGUUGGACAGUGAGGAGUUACUGUUUAUUUGAAAGCUGCCUGUUGGACAGUGAGGAGUUACUGUUUAUUUGAAAGCUGAGGGAUGUGAAUGACUAGUUAUGUACUUUGGUAAAGACGUUAUUCUACAUAUUUCUAUCUCUGUAAUGUAAUCUCGCUCUACUCUUUCUCCCUUGCUUGGCCAUCCUCCCUCUUGUCCUCUUAAUUAGCUUACCCUCUCCUGCAACAUUAGCUUUGUAUCACUCAGACCACAGGAGGCUGCUGAGGGGAGGACUACUCAUAAAAAGGCCUGGAAUGUAGUGAAUGGAAUAGUAUCAAAUGCAUGGAAACCAUUCAUUCCAUUCCAGCCAUUACUAUGAGCCUUGUCCUCCCCAAUUAAGGUGCCUCCAACCUCCUGGGAUUCAGACAGAGAAGUCACAGUAUUCACUGUUGGUUGUCCUCGUCAAAUAACUUUAUGAGAUCCCUUUUUCAUCCAUUCCACCGGCUCUCCCUUCACACAUGUAUUAAACAUGACUUCGGAUAUAGGCUGUCCCUUCACACAUGUAUUAAACAUGACUUCGGAUAUAGGCUGUCCCUUCACACAUGUAUUAAACAUGACUUCGGAUGUAGGCUGUCCCUUCACACAUGUAUUAAACAUGACUUCGGAUGUAGGCUGUCCCUUCACACAUGUAUUAAACAUGACUUCGGAUGUAGGCUGUCCCUUCACACAUGUAUUAAACAUGACUUCGGAUAUAGGCUGUCCCUUCACAUGUAUUAAACAUGACUUCGGAUAUAGGCUGUCCCUUCACAUGAAUUAAACAUGACUUCGGAUGUAGGCUAGUCAUUUUACGGGCAUUUCUCCAUGUGUACUGUGAACUUUCAUCCUUUUGUUAAUAACUCAGAAUCCAGUGUAUAGUCUUUAUUUAUUGCUUUACAAUCAUUUAUAAAGAUACUGUUUAUUACCUCACUAUUUUCUUUAAGAAAUCAGAAAUUCUCUGUCAGCAUUGUCUGUUUUUUUAUAUUAAAAAGGACUUUGUGUCAACGACCCUAAACCCCGCCUAUUUCUACAAAAACGUCCCACAUAAUCAUCCUAUUUCCCCAAGUAAAAAUAGCCUUUACAUGACCAAAACAUCACCCAUAAUAUUUGUACACCAUUAAAAUGCUCAGAAUUGAAGAAAUGGUACAUUCUCUCACAGUCAGGAAGCCUGAAAGAACAGGGGCUGACUGGGCGGAGAGCUUAUAUUCAUGAGCUCGCCUUGACUGAGAGCUCUUUGAAACGCCCUUGUGGUCGUUGCCUGGUAACAAGGUAAACAAUCCUAACCUAAAUUGUAAGGCUCAACCCAUUUUCUCUGCAAAAUGCUCUCAUGGCCAACAGAACUGGCUCAUGUUCUUGACGUGUCAUGUUUACAUAUUCUAGGUGUACAGUUGCACUGUGUUUAUGCAUAUUAGUCCAAUAACAAAGUCUUAUGUUUCCAACAUAGACUACAGCAUUCCUUUUCUCCAUAUGAAGUUUAGUCAGACUAUUGUUUUGUAACUAAUUACAGAAUACAUUUCACUGAUACACUUCUUCACAAGAAUUAGUAAAGCUCAAGACACCUUAGCCAUAAGGGAAUGUAUAUGAAAACAGCAUAUAAUCAGUGUACUGGACAAUGUAUUGGUGCCUCUUCAUUAGCAUUAUAAAUAACAUGUUCAGAAUUGUAUGUAUUGAUCAGACAUUAGUUUGAUCAUUUACAAUUAGGCCAGCACAACCAAAAUAUUGAUCACCAUAAAUGAAGGUGCGAAAUAAUGGUGAGACAUCAUUUGACAUUAAAAAAAUAUAUUAGAGCCAUAUACCUUAUAUAGGCACCGGCCACCCAACAGUGUGCAGAACCCCUUGACUCAUACAAUUUGUAACACUGCUCUCCUGUCCGAAUGCUUGAAGAAACAAUACAAAGUGUGAUGUAAUUCACGUUUACGUGAUAUGACUUUGACUUUAGAAAACUCAACCACCUACAGAGAUUGAUGGGGACCCGUAUACCCCGCUUGAAUCAAGCAGGCUUCAGUCACCCCCAAGAUUGAAGUGGGAGACAAAUCAGCUAUGGCCGCCUCCUCCGCAGGCCUCUCACACUGGACCGACAGGGGUCCUGGGACGUACAGCGCAGGCCUCUCACACUGGGCCGGCAGGGGUCCUGGGAUGUACAGCGCAGGCCUCUCACACUGGGCCGAC